GCAGCAGAUUAAGAAUCCAUUGUUGUCACUGGGAUGGUGUAGAUUUGAUCUCUGGCCUGGGUAUUUCCACAUGCUAUGCGCAUGGCCAAAGAAUUUUUUAAAAUUUUUAAAUAAAAAUAUAUUUCCAUUGGAAAGCCCUCAGGAGGUAAUACUGUGAAUGGAAGAGAGACUCUCAAAAGCAAAAGGACACUUGUCACAGGGAACUGUGUGCUUCUUGGCUUUCUCCAUUUUCCUUGGGUUGUCACCCACCUGCCAUGACAUUCAGAUGCUUCAGCAAGCCCAGAGUCACUGUUUGGGACUGUUGGGAGCCAGAGGGACUAAAGCAAAUAGCAGAUAGAGAGGCAGGCUGCUGGGUGAGAUCCCCGCUGGUCAAACGUGAAACAGCCAGUCAGGACCCUGCAUGAACCUCCUAUUGAUUUUUUUUUUUUUUUUUUUUUUUUUUUUUUUUGCUAUUUAGGGCUACAUCCACGGUAUAUGGAGGUUCCAGGCUAGGGGUCAAAUCAGAGCUACAGCUGCCAUCCUACACCACAGCCACAGCAUCUCGGGAUCGGAGCCGUGUCUGCCACCUACACCACAGCUCAUGGCAAUGCCAGAUCCUUAACACACUGAGCAAGGCCAGGGAUCGAACCCACAAUCUCAUGGUUCUUACCGAUCUUGACACAUUAGAGCUUUCAGCUGAACAUGAGACCAGGACCUUACAAGAAUUUAGAUUCAUCUACUCCAAGUUUUCCUUCCAGAAAUGACUUAGAGGAUCCAAUAUUUGAGGAGGAAACCAGUGGAAAUGAAGUAUUUGGAUGUGUGGUGAGACGCUGUUCCAUUAGAAGUGGUUUUUAAUCAUGCUAAUCUCGCCCAUUUGUGCUUGGACACAAGGCCCAGCUUCCUUCCUUUGCCGUUCCUCUAUGGUAUUUUUAUUUCUUCUUUUGAAUGGAGUUGUUUUACAAGGACACAAUUACUUUCCAACAUUACUUCAUAACUCUGGGAAAUAUCCUUGACCUGGAAAGUUGUGUGUGUGUGUGUUUUUAACACAACAUGGAGGGUGUUUGGAAACAGCUAGGAAACACAGUCAUUCUGUUUUGUUCUAUUUCCCCCUCCCUUAAACCUUCAGAGAGCCUCACAGGUUUCCUUACACUAUUUCCCAAGCAUCUAAAUCUACAGUUUCCAACCAUAAAUAGGGAGUGAGAACAUGGGACCAUCCAUGGAGAUUCUUUUAUUUUAUUUUUUUUAAAGAACUACACUGAUGGAUUAAUUCAGCUGGAAUGAUUACAUUUGUAUACAUACUGGCUUUUUUCUUUUUUUUUUUUUUUCCUUUUUAGGGCCGCACCCGUGGCAUAUGGAGGUUCCCAGGCUAGGGGUUGAAUCAGAGCUGCAGCUGCCAGCCUACACCACAGCUACAGCAACGUCAGAUCCAAGCAAGGUCUUCGAACUACACCAUAGCUCACGGCAACACUGGAUCCUUAACCCACUGAGCAUGGCCAGGGAUUGAACCUUCAAUCUCAUGGAUACUAGUCAGGUUCUUAACCCACUGAGCCCUUAUGGGAACUCCCUUCUUUAAAUUUCCAUGUUUAAAAGAUUAAAGCAGAAGUUCCCGUCAUGGCUCAGUGGUUAACCAAUCCAACUAGGAACCAUGAGGUUGCGGGUUUGAUCCCUGGCCUCGAUCAGUGGGGUAAGGAUUCGGCGUUGCUGUGAGCUGUGGUGUAGGUCACAGAUGCGGCUUGGAUCCCGAGUUGCUGUGGCUCUGGCGAAGGCCGGUGGCUACUGUUCCGAUUCGACCCCCAGCCUGGGAACCUCCAUAUGCCAUGAGUGCAGCCCUAGAAAGGACAAAAAAAAAAAAAAAGGUUAGAGCAAAGUUUGAUUUUGAACCCCAGAUGUGUUAAUUCCUCUCUGAAACAUUCAUUUUUUUGAAUCUGGAAAGUGUCUGAGGAAGAUGCUGUGUGCUGGGCAGCCUGGAGGUGGUUACCCACAUCCACAAGCACCCUGUCUGGCUCAGGUAGGACGAACGCCCUCCCUGGAGCUUGUAAGGUGUUUCAGGAAUACCCAACCUAUGCCCAUACCUGGAUCUUGUCAUGGGCCCCCCACCCCAGCCUAGGAGGUGCUGCACUCCCCUCCCUCGUUCCCAGGGCAACGGGCAGCUCCUCCCCUCUUUCCUCUGGUCUCCCCUCCAGCCAGACCAAACCCUUCCUUCCUACCUAAAUAUUCACAAAGCACCAGCGCAGACUUCGGAAGCUGGAAAGUCACGUGACCCCUGUGCCUUUGCCGCCCUUUUGCAUUCCUUGCUGAAGCCAUGCUGAAGUUUGUUUUCAUUUGUUUUGAACUAAAAUUUUUUUUUCGCGAUCUCUGUAAGUGUGACAAGACCGAAACUUGUCAAUGACCUGGCUCAGCCAGGGUGUGACACUGUCCUCUGUGAGACUUAAACUAGAUCCUCCUAAAGGCCCUACACUUUCUUUUUCAAAAUUUUUUGUUACUAAAGUAUAGUUGAUUUACAACACAGUGCCAGUUUCUGCUGUACAACAGAGUGUCUCAGUCAUACACACACACACACACACACACACACACAUUCUUUUUUUUAAAUAUUAUUUUCCAUCAUGGUCUCUCCCAGAAGACUGGAUAUAGUUCCCCAUGCUAUAUAGUAGGACCUUGUUGUCUCUUCCUUCUAGAUGUAAUAGUUUGCGUCUUCUCACCCCAAACCCCCAGUACAUUCCCCUCCCUCCCACCUCCCACUUGGCAACCACAAGUCUGUUCUCUGUCGGUGACUCUGCUUCUGUUUGUAGACAGGUUCUCUUUGCCAUAUUUUAGAUUCCACAUAUAAGUGAUAUCAUAUCAUAUUUGUCUUUCUCUUUCUUUUUUUAAAUUACUCAAUGAAUUUUAUUACGUUUAUAGUUAUACAACAAUCAUCACAACCAAAUUUUAUAGCAUUUCCAUCCCAAACCCCCAACACGUCCCCACACCUCCCAACCUGUCUCAUUUGGAAACCAUAAGUUUUUCAAAGUCUGUGAGUCAGUAUCUGGUCUGCAAAGAAGUUCAUUGUGUCCUUUUUUUAGAUUCCACGUGCAAGUGAUAGCAUUUGAUGUUGUAUCUUUCUCUUUCUGACUUACUUCACUUUGUAUGACGAUCUCUAGUUGCAUUCAAGGUGCUGCGAAUGGCAUUAUUGGGUUCUUUUUAUGGCUGAGUAGUAUUCCAUUGUAUAUAUGUACCACAUCUUUUGGGGGGGGGGAACUGCACCCUUGGCAUAUGGAACUUCCCAGGCUAGGGGUCAAAUCAGAUCUGCAGCUGCUGGCCUAUGCCACAGCCAUAGCAACCCAGGAUCCCAGCCACAUCUGUAACCUACACCACAGCUCAUGGUCCUGUGUCCUCAUGGAUAUUAGUAGGGAUAGUUACUGCUAAGCCACGAUGGGAACUCCUGUAUCACACCUCUUUUAUCCUUCCCUCUGUUGUUGGACCUACACUUACAAAGUGAUGUGAAUGACUGGAGUUCCCAUUGUGGUACAGCAGAAAUGAAUCCAACUAGGAACUAUGAGGUUGCAGGUUCGAUCCCUGGCCUUGCUCAGUGGGUGAAGAAUCCAGCAUUUCUCUGAGUUGUGGUGUAGGUCACAGACGCGGUUGAAAUCUGGCGUGGUUGUGGCUGUGGUGUAGGCUGUCAGCAACAGCUCUGAUUAGACCCCUAUCCUGGGAACCUCCAUGUGCCGUGGGUGUGGCCCUAAAAAGACAAAAAGACCCAAAAAAAACCCAAAAAACAAAAAACAAAAACAAAUCUGUAUCUCAGGCUUUCCUCUACCACAUUACCACCAAGACAUUUGUCACACUACAGCUACCUAGAGGGAUGACAACAAAUAUGUUUUGGAGUGAAAAAAAACACCCACACUGGAUUCCUAAACCCAUCUGAAAGAGUGUUUCCCCAUGUAUUCCAGAUGCUCUACCUUCCUAGGCAGCUAAAACGCCACUCAAACAAGGCUGGUCAGAAAGCCCGUGGUGUACAGGGUUAAAUUCCCCUUACUGUCUUCUUUGAUGGACUAAUUGUAAAACAAAUAAAAUCACUUGAGUCUCUAGUUCUCUCAAGACCUAAUUUACUUCCUUUCCUUUUGUUUUGUGUUUUUUAGGGCUGCACUGGCAUCAUAUGGAAGUUCCCAGGCUAAGGGUAGAAUCAGAGCUAUGGCUGCCAGCCUACACCCCAGCCACAGCAUCACGGGAUCUGAGCCACAUCUGUGACCUACACCACAGUCCAUGGCAACGCCGGAUCCUUAACCCACUGAGCAAGGCCAGGGAUCGAACACACAUCCUCACGGAUACUAGUCAGAUUCAUUUCUGCUGCACCACAACGGGAACUCCCUUCCGUCCCCUUCUUUUUACUUAUGUCUUAUUCUGCAGAAACACAAGUCAGACACACCUAAAAAUCCACAGUCAAGAAGAACAAGUAGGUGUUCUUACUGUGGCUCAGGAGUUUAAGAACCUGACAUAGUGUCUAUGAGAAUUCGAGUUCCAUCCCUGGCCUCGCUCAGUGGGUUAAGGAUCCAGCAUUGCUACAUGCUGCAGCCUAGGUCACAGAUGCAGCUCGGAUCUGGUGUUGCUGUACCUGUAGUGUAGGCUGGCAGCGGAAGCUUCAAUUCAACCCCUAGCCUGGGAACCUCCAUAUGCCACAGGUGUGGCCACAGAAGAAGAAGAACAACAACAACAACAACAACAAGUAAGACCCCAGCUUUCCCUACUUCUGAUUCUCCAGUCAUCGUCCCUGGAAAUUCCUUCUCAGCCAGGAGGCAGUGAUGGUCAUUACCAUCACAGAAAUGUCCCCUUCUCUGCUGGAAUCCUCCUGGCUUCUAUUUUCUUUUGUGGCAAAGUACAGAAUGACACUUAGGCAAUCCCACUUCCAUCCCUGAGAUGGCUUGUGCAAGGGAAAGGAGUCGUUUUCCUGCUCUUGACCUUCCUUACCAUGGAAAAGACUGGAAGCAGGUGUGCAGAUUGGGAGAAGGGCUGGGUUAGAAAUGGCCCUGCCCCAGAGCCUGCAGGAAGAAGCGUCAGCUGAGGGAAGUGCUACACCUGAUGCCUCAGAGCAGCGCACACUGGCUGUGUGUCAUCAGGCACACACAGUGCCAAGUUCUGUCUCCUAACACGAUCAGUGAGUGGCAGGUGCGGGUGGGAAUGAGAGAGAUGGGACACGUUUCUAUUUGGGUCGCUCCUAUAACAUUAAUUAAGAGCAAGUGAAAUACUAGAGGGUGGUCUCAGAAAGAAAGAGCCUGCUAGGAUCACUGUUUCCUCUGUUUUCAAUUUUUCGGAGGAACUAUGAAAGCCCUGAGAUUCUGAGUCCUCCAGAUGAUUCUGGCAGCCAGAGAACCACUGGUCCAAACCUACCGUUCUAUUUAUUAAAUCAUUCUAUUUAUGAAUAAGGCUUUUAAAGAUACUUGAUCAAAGAGCAGCAAGGAAGUCCAUACACUUUGUGUGUUCAAGUAAGUACCUUCUGGAAACUCCCUCCUGAUCCUGGAGCCAGUAUGUUAGAGAAGCAGCCAUCCCUGGCAGGGUGCAGGGCACCUGCCACCUUCCUCCCUCCUACGAAAAUGUUCUUGGGAUUUCCCCUUGUGGCUCAGCAGGUUAAGAACCCAACAUAAUGUCCGUGAGGAUGCGGGUUCAAUCCCUGGCCUUGCUCAGUUGGUUAAGAAUUGCUCUGAGCUGAGGCGUAAGUCUCAAAGGUGACUCAGAUCCGGGAUCGCCAUGGCUGUGGCGUAGGCCAGCAGCUGCAGCUCUGAUUCUGCCCCUAGCCUGGGCACUUCCAUAUGCUGCAGGUGAGGCUGUAAAAAGAGAAAAAGAAAAUGUUAUUUUUUUUAAAAGAAAACACUAAGUCAGAGGGGGUUGGAGGAGCACAGGACAUUUGCCUCCUGGACCAGCAUGCCCAUCAUUAUGGAAUAUAAAGCCCUACAAUCUAUAUACACAGGACCAUUCCGUAAUAGUUGGGUGCCCCAUCAUUUAUUAAGUAAAAUAUUGGAACCCCAUAAUUUUCACUUUCCAGGCUGCCUUGUGGGUAGGAAUUCAAAUGCAGAGAGAGAAACGUCAGGAUUUCACUCCCAUUUUCUUUGGCACUCCAAGUGUGUUAAUACUGUGUGUGUGUGUGUCUGUGUGUGUGUGUGUCUGUGUGGUUUUCCCCCGAGCUUAAUGACAGAAGUCCACUAACUCUGAGAUCCUCUUAGUGCUUCUCUGGGGAAAGCAGGUCCCCACACUUCAGACUGGAUGCCCCUCUGGGGGAUGCCAGCUAUUCCAGGCACAGGGCCACCUCCAGUGUGUCUGUGACAGGCAGAAAACUCUGCAGGAAUUUCCUCACUACUGGGCUGGGCUGUCUCACCUGCUAUCUUUUUAUGGUUUAGAUACAGCAAUGGUUUUCUUUCAUUUGCUCAUAAAAAUCAAGGGGCCCCAAAUGUUCCAGAUAACUGUAGAUAAAACAAGUGUGGCAGCAAUUCAUACAAAGCACGUCAUAGCGUCGUGUAGGAAAUGCACAGAACACUGUGCAUCUCAGACAUCUGGGGAAAUGCCCAACACAUGUAUAAAGCAGAUGCCUGUGCAAAUAUACUGCUAAACAUCUGUUCAAUACCAGCCUGGGGACCCUGUAAUCCUCCAAGUAAACUGAAACCCUUGAAAAUACACACCUGAGGAAAAGUCGAAUUUUUUUUUUUUUUAAUUUUUAGAAAAUAAUUCGGGAGUCCCCAUUGUGGCUCAGCCAAAACAAACCUGACGAGUGUGCAUGAGAAAUGCAGUUUCGAUCCCUGGCCCCAAUCCGUGGGUCAAGGAUCCACUGUUGCCGUUAGCUAUGGUGUAGUUCCCAGACACAUCUCAGAUCCUACGUUGAGGUGGAGCUCCAAUUCGACACCUAGCCUGGGAACUUCCACAUGCCGCAGGUACAGCC
This 6880-nucleotide long non-coding RNA is filed under the name Sus scrofa (pig). RNAcentral describes it as "lncRNA (ENSSSCG00000052999.1)". The record is from RNAcentral. Lineage: Eukaryota; Metazoa; Chordata; Mammalia; Artiodactyla; Suidae.